UUUGAUCUAGACACACAAUGCCCUUCUUUCACACUUCAAUUAAUUGAAAGCUCAAAACUACGUCCCCACAUUUGAGACAAAGAGCUUCGUGGAGAACGCUUCAACUAUGCGCGUUUUUUCUUGUUUUUGACAAGUAUGAGGGGAUUAUUUCAGUCAAAAAUGGAUAACAGGACUCAAGCCAUCCUCAUCCUGAUAAGUGUACUCGUUGCCAAUAUAACCAGUCAGACUCAACUUUCUGAAAAAGUCGCUUUUGUACCUUAUCAAGGAUUUCGGCUGCCUCUAAGACAACCAGCUCCAACAACAACAACGACACCAGCGCCGACACAAAGUCCCAAGAUUCCCAAUGUUCUUAACGCCUAUUUAGGACUUUUUGUAUCUGAAAAUGAAGCAAAAUUAGAGGACGAGGACACGUUUGGGCGAGAUCUGCCUGUGAUUCGCAACAUCAACGAGCUCUACACUAAGUCUGUUGAGCUGAGGUCGUAUGGAAAAGGCCCUAAAGGCUUUCACCCGGCCCUCGGCAACAACAUCAUCAACCGGAUGAGAAACAUGACAUCCAGAGGAAUGGUACAAUUCGGUGUUCCUGGGAACCUGGUGCGAGGUGGAGACCCCUACCUAGGGUACCAAAACCAGGGCCUUGUCAGUGGCAAUAACAAUUUCCCACAAGGUGGCCGCAAUUCCAUUAAAACUCCAUCCUAUGGAGUGCGAUCCGGUGCGUCAGGCGGGGCAGUGAGCAUCGCGACCAACCUCAUUCCCUACAGUCCAUACGGGAUCAAUAAUGACGGCGAUGCUUGUUGUCCGACAAUCCGUAGCCGAUACCAACCAAUGGACACUGUAGAGAACAUUCACGGGGAAAAAUUUGUACCCGUGCAGCUUGUGGCAUUGGGAAAAUAUCAAACGUUUGCAGUUGCUGAGUGCGACCACAAUGCUGUGAAGAUGUGCCCUGGCCAGUGCGUAACCACCACCAGUGUGUUCUCCAUUUUGGUUUUCUGUCUGAAGCACAACUCCUGCUAUAACCACAACACCGGAAGUGUGACCUUUACCUUCGAGAAAUUCCGACUCCCGACGGGAUGUGUUUGCAAAAUGUGGUCAAGACAAUAGAAAGGUUAAAGAGACGGCACUUAUCUUAUUUUGUUAGGGGUUAAAUAGAUUUUUAACCUCAUGCCAGGUGGAUUCUCACGCUACUUCUUACAGAGUUCAUGAACAGCACAGAUAUCAUUUAGAGUUCAUAAUGAUUUUUCCCAAACCUAUAUGCCAAAAUGUCAUUCUUUUGAGUUAAUAACAUACCCAGCAUAUCAUUUGAGUUUAGAGUAAGAAAGUUUUGGAAGAAAUCAAAAAUUCUUAUUUGUCGCACCGAGCAUGAUAGAAAUUGAUGACCAUUUGUGAAGUUUUUUUUUUUUUUUGACGAUUUAAUCUAAAAUAGCAAUUUUCUAAUACAACUGGCAUUAUUAACACAAUCAUGCUACUUGAGUUAAAUUGUUUUAAAAGAUAGAAAAAAAGCCAUUUGUUAUGUUUCACGAAAUUUUCCACGUGCCUGUAUAUAUAAGGACACACCCAUAUUGUUGAGGAGAAAUAAAAUUAUAUGUAAAUAUUAAAAUUGUUUGAAUUAGGGAAAUAAACUGCACCAGUUAAGGCAUGUACAUUCAUAUAAAUGUACGCACACAGGCACACUCUUUGACAAGAACAUAUAGAGAUUUACAGGAAAAAAUGCGAUCAAAAAUACCCUGGAUCAAAGGCACAUGUAUCGCACAUAGUAUUUUGGCAUACGAAAAAAAUGCGACUAACGUUUUUAUCCUUACAUUUUUACUCUUAAAGGUGAUUCAUAUAUUUAUUUUAUUUUAUUGGCAUUUUAACAUGUAAACAAUUUUAAGUACUAAUUUAAUGACACUAUAUCAACUCAGAAAUACCUGUUUUAAGAGUAUUCCUCUCUUCUCUUCUCUUGCCUGGGACCUGGUGAACGGUUGCUUCGAGUGUAAAUGGCACAUUAGGUACGGGUAUUAAUUUCUUUAUUUUAAAUGGAAUGUGACAUGUUUUCAGAUGAAACCCCAGGAUAUCUAUUAGGAGAGUAAGAAUAUAUGUUAGACACCAAACAUCCUUGAUACUUAAUCUUUAAUACAGACAACCAAAGUGGUCUGGUUUUUCUAUGCUAAAAUCAAUUAUUGGGUUCCAGUUUUUGAGGCAAAGUACUUAAUUAGGCGAUCUUAACCGACUUCUGGGUAGGGUCUCAUUUCUUGAUGAUUAGUGAGGCGGUGUAUGAAAGAAGUCUCCCCAGUCGUGUCUAAGUGUAAUAACGCAUGACGUCUCCAAUUCAUCAGGGAAGUCCAUUGUUUUCAGUUUCGAAGUUGUCUCACCCUUUGCAUAUGCCCGCCAUUGCCGUUUUAUACUCAUAAUUAAAUCUCCUUCCUCUUUAAUGUCUUCCAUUUGUUUUUUAGGUUCUUUUAUAAUGACAAAAUAAAAAAAAACAUUCAUUUUUCAAGAGAUAAACUGAGGGUGCUGAUUUUGAAUCUAGUGUCAAAUCUCAACAUAUGACGCACCGUCUUGGGUUAGAUAUAAUCAAAGCCCUUAUUAAGAUUCAGCAAAAAAAAAGACAAGAUAUGCAGUUAGUUAUGCUAGAUUAUAUGCAAUUUUUUAUUGCUGCGAUAAGAACGACGAGAGAUUAAUCUGAAAUUAAACCCGCUUUGUUCAUAUAGGCUGCGGUUGUGGCAAGAGUUUUUAGGCCACAGAUUUCACCAAGUUUGUUUUCACACCAAUUCUCGACAUACGCAGUAGUAAUGGAUCUUGACAGUGUUAUUCUUCUGGUUAUUAUGAAAUUAUGUGACUGUAAUGGACUUUUCGCUUUAAGUACCUCAGAUGACAAUUAUCCGAUGAUGAAUUCAGCUUUACCAUCUGGUUCGUACGCCUCGUAUUCCCGGUACAGCCCGCUGUCUACGCGACAUUUGGCAGGAAAUAAUAUAGCAGUGACAUCGUUCUCAUACAAUGAUGAUGAUGACUCUUGCCCGGACAGAUGCACCGGGUGUCCGACAUCAUGCUUCAAACCAGAGCCAAACACUAGCUAUGAAGUGUAUGACGUCCUUUAUCCUGGACUUUUUCAAUCACCUGCCAAAUUGGAUCAAAUUGACAUGAAGACAUUUGGGAGGAAAUUGUCCAAGAAGACUGGAUUGAAAAGUAAUUUUACCAUCUUUAAAAAACAAGCGCCAAUUUAUAAACAAAAGAACAGUGUCGUCUUCUCGAAAAGGCGAGAGCGGGACGCAGAAGAUGAUAAUGACGCUGUCUCGAAUCGGGGUACUGUCGGCUCGGAUUCGAGUCUAUUAGUAGAUGGAGAUAUAUGCUGUCCUGCAGAACUGACUCGAUUUCAACCCAUGGAGCCUAUAAAGGACAUUAACGGAGAAAUGUAUCUCGUUGUCCAGCUUGACAGGGUGAAUAAAUACCAAAGCGUCACGGUAUCAGAGUGCAAGUUUAAUGGAAUCAUGGAGUACUGCCCGGGACAAUGUGUGACAACUAUGGGAGUUUUCACUCUACUGGCUUUCUGCAAACCAGAGAAUUCCUGUCGAAAUAAAGUAGAUUCGUCUGUCUCUUUUGAGCAAUUCGAGUUGCCCACGGGAUGCAUAUGCAAAAAUUUUAACGGAUGAAAGGAAUAAGUCAAAACAAUUAAUUUCCGUAGAUUGUGUCUUUCAUGUUUGAUUUAAGUUGAUAUACUUUAUUAUUUAUAUCAACACGACGUUUGUUAAGUACAUUUUCCUAGGUAUAUUUUAAAUUGACAAGAAUUUUUUUUCCAGUGACAAUAAGAUGAAAUGUACUUUUUUUGUUUUAACCAGAACAAACACAGUGCAAAUUAUUCAUUUACUUGAAAGACAAAAAAGGUGUUAAAUGAAUGUCUAAAAUACAGGUACCUAUGAUACAACGUAGGCCUAUGUAUAUA
Unclassified non-coding RNA from Lingula anatina, 3916 nucleotides. Lineage: Eukaryota; Metazoa; Brachiopoda; Lingulata; Lingulida; Lingulidae. The record is from RefSeq and is a predicted model, not a curated record.